Molecule: RNA transcript, 13172 nt
Organism: Bombus pyrosoma
Lineage: Eukaryota; Metazoa; Arthropoda; Insecta; Hymenoptera; Apidae
Exons: 8
Source: RefSeq, a predicted model, not a curated record
ACGCGCGAAUAAUUGCAGAGGAAUUAGGGGAAUUCACUGCGAGUUACGUCGAUUUCAAGAAUAGUUCUUGAGAUUUUGCGAUCUUUGAUGGUACAAGGUAAUGAGAUCGUUGGAAGAUAACGAAUUUCUGAGAAACCAGAGUUGAUAAAGUUACCAAUUCGUGAUUUUUUAUAGAAAUUUUACAAAUUUUACAAACGACGCAUUUUUCGUAAUUUGAAUGAUCUUCUAUCCUUGUAUUUGAUCACGGACCUGAAAUAUGCGUGUUCCUUCAAAACUUUAAAAAUAUUGCUCUCCGUAAUAUUAAAAUAUCAUUUGUGCUAAUAACGAUAAUGAUUAUAAUUAUCAAUUAUUUUAAAAAGACUUACAUCCUUAUAUGUAACAGCUUCUAUCAGUUUUCAAUUAUGUCGUAUUAAAAUUCUUCUAUUUAACCAGAAGGCGAUAUUAGGAUUAGAAAUUCAACAAGGAUAUCCUAUUAUAUUUUCUCCUGUGAUCUUCAUAUACUUCUUACAUAACUUCUAAUACUAAAGUUAAAGUAUUAUGUAAUUGUGGAAAAUUACAGAAGUAAUUUGCAAAUACCUUCUAAGAACAACAUUGUUUCUUUGAUUGCUCACUAAUCUAUGUAAAAUUUUGAAAAUACGGGUAUUAUGGAACCUUCAGCGCGUUAAAUAUUCACUCGUACAAACAAACGCUUUAUCGCUGACCUCCGAGAGGAUUGCGAGUAUGUUGCCACUAGAUAAUUAGUCACUUCUGCACGCUGAAGCUUUCACCCAUUUAUUUAGGGAAAGGUUACGAUGAAUGUUUCGCCUGGAGCGCAAGUCGGAAUGCCAUCGAUUUCAAUCGUCCCUUUUUUCUUUGCCUGAGAUUUCGAUCAAAUUAUAUAACGAGGCUUAUUUGUCCGCGUACCCGAAUAAUGGGAGAGGCGGAUUUCUUAAGCGCACGUGGACCGAUCGAAGGUCUUUCCAGAAAAAAAGAUCGGUUCACGAAUAAUAUAACUUCGAAAACCUUCAGAAUUGAUUUCAGAUGCGAUUUCAGAUCGAUUCGCAAUAAAACAGGAAUACGCUAAAGAAAGCCCUUCGUUGACAAAAAAAUCCAAUUAGUCAAGAUCUAGCUGAUCUGUUAACAAUGGUUAUUUGUUAACACUAGAACUACCAAUUAAAAUGAUUGGUAUCAAAUUUUUUCUCUUUGUAAUUAUUGAAAAAUAUUGUAAUUUUAAUUUUUACUUUCAUCGAAGCAGAAACACGAUUACGUAUAUGUACUUAUUUAUUUAGUUCUAAUUAACUAUAUUUAACAUGUUUUGGAUGCAUGGUGAAGGUCAGUAAUUCUAGUUUAAUCAGUCUAAUCGUGCAAAAAGGUGCACGUUGUUUCAUCUCUAUAUAAAAUAAAUUGUAUAAUGCUUAUGAAUAAUUAAAUUACAUAUAUCGUACUAACAUACUUUGGGAGAAUUAAAAUCAAACUACUUGAAACUGUUUUGUUUUCGUGAAUUUUUAAUUUCACGAUUAUAGAAAGUGAUUAACAAAUUAAUUCGGCAGAGCAUAAGAUUAAAACAAUGUGGAUCAGGAAGAUGAGUCGCCUCUUAUCUAUCCGAGACGCGACGAGAGACGAGACAGGAACACGAGUCACGUGCAAAUUUUUGUAGGAAACCAGGCCCGCAUGUUUUUCAUGUGCUAUCUGACACCCUAACUGCGGAGAAUUUGAUUUCUUAGACAGUCUAGGUCUAGGUAGACAGUGCUUAUACAGCGACUGCGAUGCGUCGUAGGAAAUGGAAGUUAAAAAACGGAGAUAAACAGUCCUUGAUCAACGUCUACAAGGAGAGUUUCUUCUUGAUCGAUCGUUUCGAUCAAACAAACAAGAUACGUCCAUUCUAUUAGGUCAUUCUCCUAGUAUGUGAGAUAUUUUUAAGCCAUUUAUUUUUUGGAGAACGUACGCCCUUCGAAACUCGACAUUUUUAUUUGAAUAAAAUUUGUUGAUGUUCAAUACACGCCUUCGUCAAUCUGCUCGGAGAAAAGAAAUUCGAAGGAAAGGUAAAAAUUCAAGAAGCAUGAGGGACGAAGCGAAGAAUCGAUAACAAAUUGAUAGGAUUUUUGUAAGGUUUGCGACCCCUUGUUGAGCAAAAGAAGAUCGUUGCCCUUCUUAACUAAAAUGCCCCAUCCACCAUAUCGAAAUUGAAGAAAACGAAAAUUUUAUACCAUCUUUGUUUUUCUUCGUUCGAUUAAAAAUAUUGAACCUGUAUAUCUUCCGACGUUCCUUAAAGGUGCAAAACGCAGGGAGCUUCAAAUAUUUCAACGUACCUUGAAAAAUGAGUAAGAUGCUGAAUUUCAGCUAAGGAAAACAAAUCAGUUUGUAGGUAUUUUAGAGAAAGGAGAUGCGAGUUACUACAGACAUAAUUAAAUUACUGUUUAAAGUAAGAAUAGAGAUCGGAUUCAGGAUGAUCUAAGAAUUUCCCCCGACCAUCAGUUUUUCCUUAAUCGUCCGAUAAAUCCCCGAGAAUGUUCUUUCUAAGAAUAGAGAAAACGAGUAGACUGAAAUUAUUUCAAGAUAGAUGGGUGCGUCAAACGAACGAUUGACGUACGUUCCCGCCACUCAGGCGCAAUUUGCAUUUUUCGGAGCUAUCCGCUUCGCCGAACUGUCUACGGCCUUGAUAAUUCUACACACCUCCUCUAUUUUCCUGCUCUACGUAGUAGAAGUUAAGCAAGCCAGUUUUAGGUUCCUGGCACGGGGCCAAGCCCGUUGAGAAUAGCGAAAUCCGAAGAGCAUAACUUGUGGAUAAACAUCGGCGUUACACAUGCUUCUCAGCAUCAGCGCGGUGCAGCACGUCGCGGCAUCACGUUGCCUCCCGGAUCGAAAGAUCGUCUCCAAGGAACCUCCAGUGCGAGAAUUCACCAAUCUUGUCCUCUAACUAUGCCGUCGUUAGCUUAUUCCUUAGUAGGUUAAACAAAAAUUUCGUGGAACGCGGUUGUCGUCGAUGAACCAUAUUACAAUUUUAAUCGAAUUUGGACGUUUUUAUUUAAUGCAUUAUGAGAACAACGAUGUAUAGUAAUUACAAUUUCUAAAAAGAGGAAGCGACUGUACGAAGAUGUUUUCAAUGUUCUCUCAUUUUCCAACUUAUUUUCGUUCACGGUAAUUCAUCAAAAUUUAUGAAAGAGAUAAGUACGAGGAUAAAGCAGUUGAUAUAUUGACAACCAAUUGAUACAAUUCUCGUAAGGUUCGAAACAAAUUGUCCCUCUUAAUUAAAAUAGCGCAUUAACGAUUCCAGUUGGAGAUCAUACAGUGGCGCACGAAAGUAUUGGAAUAAUUUCAUUUAACAUUGGCCGGCUCAAAAUUAGGUUCACUCAUUCACUCGUAUUAAAUUGAUAAUAAUAUCGUAUUUAUCUUUGUCAUCUUUUUUUUUGUGUGUUUGUAGAAAACGAUUUAUGAAAACACAACCUUAAUUAAAGAUUCGAAAGUCGCUGAACGUAACAAAUUGAAAAGAUACAGAGAGUCUGGGAAUGCGAUGCCGGAAGAUAAAAAACAACGUUGACUGCACUACGAUCGGAGACUCGCCGGAUUCUGGUACAUGGAUCUGGUUCAGCCGAACGUAUCGUAUCUGAUCCAAGUGAACAGCGUGAUUCCCACAGAGGAAUUCAACGCGCGGAAAUGCGUAGUUGCUGGCCACGAUGGAAACAGUAAACCAGAUGGCCAGCCAGUCCUAGAAGAUGAGAACCGAAGAAAAUUGAAGAUUCUUCCGAGGCAUCUUCCUGUUCCUCUUAUUUCGCGCGAUUCUGCUGGAACAUUUAAAAAAGAAGAAUCCCCGAAAUGCCAACGACAGAGCCAGGAACAAGUUUCGUUGCGACGAUCGUUUCGACGAAAUCCUGAACGAUUUAUCAUCGACGACUCCGAUUUAAAUAACGCCGUGUGGCGAUUGUAAUGCAUUUUUAAUUGGAAUAUUCGUGUCCUGUGACUUCAAAUUAGUCGUGAAUGAUCGGCCUCAUUGAUAUUCUUCGAUACUCUUCAGGAAUUGCAUCGAUUUAAAUCCCUUCUCGACACUCGCAAUGCAUUUUUAAUUCGAUUCUUGAAUUAUUCCUGCAUUAUUAAAAAGUAUCGAUAAUGUUUGAUACGGGAUGAGAGAAGGGAAAUGCAAGUACGCAUUAAAAUUGGAAUGCUCAUGUUCCUCUGUUCGUGGUCUCGGGCACGUCUCGUCGGAAUGCGACGAAUCCGAUCCGUCGUCUUUCGUCGCAGCACGCGACUUUUCUCCGGAGGCGGGAAGAGUCGGAUUCCGCCCUUUAUCAUCUCUGCGUCAGUUCCUAUGUUCUGUUAUCUGGAGUGGCGAUCAUCUUCCGAAAGCUUGGUAGCCGCUGGAAAUUAAUCUCCGCACUGGACACGCGUUGAAUCGACGGGUAGGAACAAUUUGUGCUCUGACAGCGAAUUUAUUUUAUCUCUGAUCUCCGACUAACCAGCCUGCAUCCUAUAAAUUACCAUCUAAUACGAAAUGCUGCUUUUUAUAUUAAAUUUAUCGAUCGGGACAAGAAGAUCGAUAAUGACGGACGGCAAUAAUAAGUAAUAUUUCCUUUAAAAAAAAAAGGGGGAAAUGUUUGAAAAAUACGAAAGUCCGAAAGGUCUACUACUGCACAAUAAUACAUGACUAAUUUAUUACGCGUGUUAUAUGAAACAUUUUGAAGUAUCAUUAGCAUUGCAACCAGACACAUUAUUAUAUUGGAUAAAAUUUGAAACCGUUCUGAAAAAUUGUACAAGUUACAAUAUAUUUAUUACAAGCACGUGCUUUGCAAAAUAUUACCAAAGCGUUUGAACAGUCAACUGUUAAUCAUUUGGUUGGUAAAAAUGAAAUAUCAUUUAUUCAAAGUUUGAAUUUAAUGAAUCUAAUACCAUAUAUUCAAUGAUUAACGAUUAGCAGGAAAUAAUUGACUGUUCUCGAAUACAACGAAUAAACUGUGGCAACUUUCAUAGACAUUUUCAAAUUGCAUUCAAACUGUGCCAAUAUAAUCGCGACAGUCGACUCUGAUUACGAUGUUAAUGAAACUUCAAAAAGUUUCAUCCAACGCGCGUCAUACAUUCGUCAAAAUUUCCUUUGUUAAGUGUCCCAAUACUUUCGUCAGUCACUGUAAUUAUGCAUGAUGUAACGGUACCUGUGAAAUCUGUGAUCGAGAAUCGUCUAGGAGCGUGAUCGUUCAAGUUGAAUAUUUUACUUUCGACCAAUAAAAAUACUGGAAUAUUACGAAAAGGGUGGACGGGACACCGAUGUUUUCGAUUUCAUAAGAUUCCACGUGCGAUGGCGAGGCGGCGGAACGAGUGCACCUAUGCGUGGGUGCGAUUGCGCAAUACAAUUCGAAAUUCAAAUUUCGCUUCCACGAAGCCCGAGGAUCGAACAGGCGAGACCAAAUCUUCCUCUCUUACCGGAUUCCAGGUAUAUUCCUUAUCUCGAUAGUUGUCUGCCUUCGUGAAGGUGGCAGAGGAAGAAAGAUGUAUCCGAGUCAUGUAAAUUGCACCAUUUCCAUUUUUUCCUUCUUGUCUACGUGUUCUCGCGCUGCCUUCUCACCCUUGACCGAGCUGUAUCACUCUUAACAUUUCUCUCUCACUGUUAUUUUCGCAUGUUUCAAUUCCAAUCGGAGAAAUAAUUCGGCAAACGUGGGCGACGCAAGCAUGUCCAUAGUUUUUCCCCGAAUCGUGACCAGUCGUUUGACAUCAGGAUAUCGAGGAAAUCUGACCAGUCGUUUGACGCCAACGUAUCAAGAAAAUCUGGCAACUGGUCGAAAUCCUAACAGAGUUUGUGUUCGUGGAGAAAGUCAUCGAACCUACAUCACAUUCUGUCUAGCGCACAGCCCGGCUACUAUUAUCGAUGUUUUUCUGCGUCAAUCGAACAAUCGAUGAUUCUCCCGAACUGGCGUAAAAACAUAUAAGUUACAAGAAUUACACGAAUUGCGCAGAAAUAGAUUCUGAUAAUUGUACUGCGAAUUGUAUUUUUAUAUCUUGAUCUUUCUCUUGUUUCAUCAAGCAAGAAGAUAUCUAAGAAAUAGUUCAUACUUUUCCAUAAUUUCCUGAAGUGUAACCUUCUAAUCUACAAACUUCCUAUCAAUUAAGCGAAGAUGAUUAAAUUCUCUUAUCACAAAAAUAUGAAAAUGAAGUUGAGAAUAUCAUAUACAUAUCUUUCAUAAAGUAUAUACAUAUUUAUUUUAAAAUAAGUUUAGAACUAGGCUAAAGCAAGUGACUAAAACUCAUACGCAUUUAGACUCAAAUGGUUAAGAAAUUUGUUAAGAAUAAGAAAACACGAUUGGGUCUAAAAUGACUAAAACGACGCAGCAAGUUUAAUUACAUUUGAUGCUUCCCGAAUAGUAAACUUUCCUAAGAACUGAAGCUACCCCAAACCCAUCGCUCUUUUACAAACUCGCUAAACUGAAAUUUCUACUGACUUCAAAAAGCACCCAGUUACGAAUGGAUGUUUCCUAGGAUGUUAAUCGAACGAUCCAGAUUAAUACGACACGGGGUGUCCACGGGCCAGUUCCGAAAGGGUUCCGCUCUAUCCCUCAUCCCUAUCCGCGACGCGAGGGGCCUGACAAGGCCGACAGAUAAGUGUUACGAUUGCAAACAACAGUUUGAUGGCGAGGCAAGGCCCCGCGUUAUUUAUUUUGGUACGUCUAGACGCCAGAUUGUCUGUCCGUACGUCCGAAUCGCGACGGAGGAUUCGGAGGUGACGUCAGACGUGACUGUAUUGCAUCGUCGCGUCGGAGAGAUUCGACGAUUCGGCUUGUCUCUCUUUGCCGGAUCAAAUUGCAUUCUCUCUCUCUUUCACCCGACGUCUGCCACCUAACUUCUCUGUUGUCUGCCAGUAUCGUGUGGCCUCCCUCUUUUUGUACAUUUAAAUGCGUGCACGUGUCUGCGUGUGCGCAGCGACCUGCGAUUAUAUGCACCCGUGAUCCAAACGCAUCGGUCAACACAACGGCUAUAGUCGCUCGCUGUAGCUCCGGGGGUGAAUAAAGUAUCCCUCGCAUUUUCUUUCUCUUUUCGUGACCCUGUCCAUUUGUUUACGAUCGAGGUGAUCCUGCCUCUGCCACAUAUCGAUUCGAUUCCAGAAAGAUCGCAUACAUCCGGAUAAAUUUACCCUUUUGGUAGACUGGUCCGAACGCACGAUGCGUUCAACGAAAAUUUGAUUCAGAAUUUUCCAGGCAUCUUCCGAUGUGAAGGUGUGUGGGAGGAGAAGGAGGAGGAGGUGUAGUCUAGCAAAGUUUAUCCUGGACGAUGGCUACCUGCCAAGAGAAAUCAAUCAUUAAUAAAGAGGCUUUCUUGUUGCAACACAUCUUCAACUCGCUUUAGACAAACCGAGGGAUAACCGAGGAUAACCUAAGAUACAGAAUAGAAUCUAAAUUUAUCUUAAUUCUGAGAAAGAUUUAGCAUGAAAAUUUAUUCCAUAUUAUUCUAGCAUUCUUGUUAAAAGAUACAUUUCUUCUGUUGCAACAUACCUUCAACUUGUUACAGGGAUAAUCGAGGAUAAUCUGAAAUACAAAAUAGAAUGUAAAAUCCGAACUUUUAGCAACUUCUUUAUCGUUCUAUCAUUCUUAUUCAGAAAUAUGUUGUUAGUUAACCCCACCUAGUCUGAGAAUAGAUAUGAACGACUGUUACGAAGAAUUUUAGAGGCGAACCAUUUCCGAUAAAUCUCGCCCUGGCGCACUAUAACAUAUCGCAAAUGAUUUAUUUCAGAAAGCAGACGGUCGCCUGGCCGAUGUCUGUCCAGCAGAGAGACAGUCGCAGCAGACAGGUUCAAAGAACCGAAUCCUUUAACCUAAUUUUCAGAUUCGGUCGCGUCACCAUAAUUUACGUCGUUCGUCCAAAAAAACAAAAGAUUCACGACCUUUCUAAUCUUUCUCGUUUGCAGCCAAAUUUAUGGAUUUUCACACGGAUCCCGGCGACCGAUUCGAUCACGAGCACGGGUUUAUUUUUCGUCCCGCUCUGUCUCUCCCGGUCUCUCUCAGUCUGCGCUUGUUUUUUCCCCCUUUCCUCGUUCCCGUUCUUCUUUUUGGGCCCCGUCGUCGACGUGCUUUGCCACGUAUUUUCACGCACGCACGCGGAGGCUGCAUUUAUUAAAAGCGAUACAUUAUGAUUCAAAGAUCAUAUCUUGGGAUUCGUCUAGACGGUGGAGAGGGAGACACCCUAUAAAGUCGUACGUGGCUGCCCCUGAAACAAGCAACCGAAUACAAGGUGCCUUCUCGUUCAUUUCUUCUCGCCUCCGAGCCACCGUUUUUCGUUUCCUUCUUUUCUCCCGCGAGCCCCUUCGUCACGCCAGUCCGCGUUCCUCUCGAACACGUGAAAACGUCUCCCUUCUCUUCCCAGACCACGAACAAAUCGUUUCAUCGGACGAAAAUUCUUCUGAAAAUGUCACAUGGGGCGAAUUCACGUUCCUAAAUCUGUCAUGAUAUACUGAUCCUGGAUCCUCGUCUGCAUCUGGAGAAAAAUUAUUCUAAGUAGUAUCGGUCUGCAUCUUAUCGAAUAGAAGAUUGCCAUUACCAAAAAGUGGGCCAGUCAGAUACCUAUCUUGAUAUUUCGAAAAGAGAAAGGGGCGGACAAGAGAGAGAAGAAUCGUUGGAAAAAGGGAAAAAUCGAGCAGGCGAAGAAGAAGAAGAAGAUGCGAGCGCGAUAAAGCGUUACGGAGAUCGAGAAAAGGCAGUCGACCGCGGGAUUUGGGCGAGCGAGGGAAAGGGAUUACCACACGCGCGCGGCGGGUGGAGCGAGAGGAACAGACGCACGGAGAGAAAGAGAAAGGAGACGAAGGAGAAGAAGAAAAAAGCGAGUGAUCGUAGUAACACCGGCGCGUCUCCUCUCGCGGCUUCGUGCUUGUCUCGGAAUUAGUGAGUAGACAGAAUUAUGUCCGUGAGCAGACCAGCUCGGCUCAGUUGAGACUUACUGCUCAGCCCGUGCACACGUAUGCUACGAAUCUUUCCUACUUACAAAUAUACCGUGGCUUCCUGAUGCGAUUAGACUAGUCCGCGAUCACCCGCCACAGAGAAUCACGGACCAGUUUAUUUAACACUUCUUCGUAACGCGGAUACACUGUCAGCGUCUUCCGUCAACGUUUGUCGAUCCGUUCUCUGGGUCACUCGCUUCGACGAGAAGAGCCACGCGGUUUUCAGCGAACCUACCUCGUCACGACGAUUGCUCACCUUUCGGGGGUUGUGAAUUCCCUCAUGCGAUAAAAAUGAAAGACUCCAUUCAACGAUAACAGUGGCUACAUUACCGUAUCAAUGAACGAAGUGGUGCCAUUUUCUGCCUUUGUACGAUCCUGACAGAGAAAAAGGGACAAAACAAAGUGAGAAUUUCUCAGUCCGAGAAGAAGAGUUUGAUGGUGGUCGUCAUGGAAUUCUCUGGGUUCUUCGUAUUGCUGUUGGUCGUCUCGAUUGCAAACAGUGUCUCGGGCCACCAUCAUCACCGCAGUGUACACGCGGACGACAAGAAGAAGGAAGAUCUGAUGGACCACGUGAAAAGGUACGCGGCCAGUGACAACGAGAACGUGGUGCUCUCCGAGGGCGACAAGAGCAGGAGUCUGAGGGGCGAAGAAGCUAAAGGCACCGUUCCCUUCAGCGAGAGGAGGCUGGAGAAGAUGCUGGAGAAAGCUAUCCUAAAAAUAAUCACUGGCGAUCUCAGCACGGGUGACAUGUUGCUGUUAAAAAGCCUAAAUUACAGCCUGGAGGAAGUUCUGGCGAUUCGUGAGAGGGAGCUGAACAAGAAGAAAGACGAAGAACUGAGGAAAAAGGAAAAUAUGAAAUCUUGGUCGAAGGUGUUGUACGGAGAUGGAGAAAAGAAAAGUAGAAAUUGGAAUAAAAAUUCCAUGGGCCGUUCGUCUUCGAAGAACCCUGAUUUUGAAAACGUUAAACGAGAAGGUAAAAAGAAUCGUCACGUGGAUAGGUCACCUUCUUACAAAGAUUUCGACUUUGAGGCGUAUAAUCGACAGGCGAUUCUCGAUUAUGAGAACUUACCCUCCAACUUAGAAUUUCAGCAAUCCUGGUCAGAACCCACGGUUGUCGACUACGAAGAAGCUACCAAAGCUUCCAAGGAACAGGACGUCGCAAAUAAUCUUCAUCGUGACUUUGACAGAGCUAUGGAGCCUCACGUGGUCUUUAAGAUCCGAUACGAUGACUCUGAGUUCGAUUCCAGCUCAGGUUCCGACGAAAAUAACAAAAAUCAUCUUAGAAUGCCUAAACAUCACGUUUCGAUGAUGAGACAUACAACUUCGAGGAAUACUGGCAAUUCCUUUCAUGCAUCCACAUUGUCACCGCUCUCUUCAACUACUGCUACUACUGUGCCUUUGGUUUAUCAAUUGAGCAGCACCAACGUAAAGGGUAACUAUCUAAACAACGAUCCUAUAGCAACCACACUUUCAACAUCGAGUACCGUCAGUACCACCAAGAGUACCAUUUCAGAUAAAAUUUCGGAGGACAAAAAUGGUACAGAUAUCGUCGUUCAUGUUACUAAUUUUACUGAUAAAAUAGAAGCUUCAAAAAGUGUAGAGAAACUUAGUGAGAAUAAAAGGAUCAGUGAAUACGAAGGACUCGAAUGGGUCGAGGAUGACGUUUACAGAGUUAUCCCUGAAUUCGUGGAUUCCCUUGGUUUCGAGAAUACCGAGGAUAAUGAGACAUCUGACUAUGAAGACUCUACUCACGAUUCCCGACUAAAUUGGAAUCCGGAGGAUAACGAAAAUGAUACAUUAGGCUAUCUAAACGACACUCCUGAUUCUGUCAAGCUCUUCAUGGCCAACAAUAACGUAUCCGCCGGCAGCCUUCCCUUAGCCAAUCUGUCGUCCUACCUGCAACUAGCCAUUGCUCAUCGACGAGGAGGAAACCUAACCUCAAGCUUCGACAGCCAGGGUGAAAAAGCCAUCGAGGACAUCAAGACGCGGGUUCUGGCUCUCACCGGAAGAUUCAACCUCAGCACCGACGCCAACCAAGUUCAACGCGAACGACUCACCAUGUUUUCACCGACUUGUCAAAUUCCACGAAACACGGAUCAGGAUGCCUGGACGGACUCAUUCUCUAUGAAUAUGCACUUUCAAUUGAAUUUGACUUCCAGCGAUCACGUGGUCGCCGCUAAAUUAAGAAUAUUCAAAUUACCACAAGAAAACACGACAUCUUCUUCAGAAAGCACAUUCGACGAGGAGGAGGAAGACGAGAAGAAGAUCAGGAUAUCGGUCUACUAUUACACGAAAACUUUGAAGAGGCAUCGAUCGAAGAAACGCCUGAUGGAUUCGGUAGUGACUCCUCUCACAUCCAGAGGUACCCAUUUGGCGUUGGAUGUGAGACAAAGCCUUCGAUUCUGGAGACUGAACCAACGGAAUUCUCAUGGAAACGGAAGUAACCAUGGGCUGGUAAUACAAGUUGAAGAUCAAGAUGGCAGGCCGCUGAAACCGGCUCUAUAUAUUCAACAACCGUCUUGCGCGGAUCAGGAUUCAGAUCAGAAGGCAUACCAGCGAGUACCUGCACUCUUCGUACGAGCCUGUACUCGUUACGUUCGCAUCGUAAAUGGAAAAACGGAGACGUACGUCAACUGCAGGCAUUAGAGUGGAAGAGAAAAACACUUACAUGCUGUGAGAAAAUAGACAAUCAUUCACGUUGCACUUUAUCCUUGGAAAAAACAAGGAUUAUUUUUACGAAGACCAUAGAACAUAAUCCUUGAACUGUUGCUCGAUUCAAACACAUACCAACAAUAAGUGUGAAAUACACUUUUGUAGAAAGAAUAGUCAUUAUUAAGGUGUGACGUGUUUGUAUCGAUUAUCGAUCAUAACUACAUACUUUAUAAAUUCGUUAACAAAAUGGAAAAACAAAUUUUUCCAUUGCUAUGCAAUGCAUAUGCAAUUAUUCUUGCAUAAAUGAAUGCGUUAAAUUCAUUAAUGUAAUCAAAAAAAUUUUAAUAUUUUUUAUACAAAAAUCAUACUGACGACAUUCUGGGGUUUUUUUUUUUAUUGUUCUAAGCGCGCGCAAUACAAAACGCAGACAGAUGCGCCGUCAUAAUUGUAAUUAGUUUCGUAGCAGUAACGAAGUAAAAAAUGCGCGAAAAUUGCAUUAGUGGUGAACUGGUGAGAGAGUGAAUAUAAUCCCAGUAAAAGUUUUUUUAUAGACUGCUUUUUAAUUUAAACAAGAUGUUAACUUAAAAAUGGAAUGCCGUGUUAUUUAAGUGCAGUAGUGGAUGAAUUGGACUUUUAUACCUAAUGAAUAUUGUCAAUCUAUAAAGAUACGAUUAUGUGCGCCCCCCACCAAUGGCUGUAGAACAUGGGAACACCCACUUUUCCGUGUUUCCCUGAACAACAACCCUAAGGAACGUUUCGACUUGAAAGCUGUUCAAUAACAAUUAAGGGCCUUGACAGUAAGGUAGAGAAUGCUAAAUUUUGUAACGAUUUUUUGUGAUUAUUGCGUGUCCGAAUAAGUAUGACUGAGGGAUGGAUUAUGAUUUAUGAUAAGACGUAACAACAUAGAACAGUUAUUUAGCAACGCGAAGAAACAAUAUGAGGUAAUUGAUAAUCGCAAAAAAUAACUGAAUCGAGCGAAAUUGCACUAUGGGGGGGGGGGUCACUGAUGAUAUCAAUGAAAUAAAUUCAUUAAUGAUGAUUAUACACCGUAACAUAUUUUUUGCAGGUAAUAUUUCAACGUUAUAUGUAUCGCAUGAUAAAAAAUUGUCACGGCCAAACCUUGCAAAACUGGCGUGACAUUCAACAUGUUAAUGGAUCGAUAAAUGAUAAGUUGUAGAUUAUGGAUUUUUACCGAACAAUUUUACUAUUUUAGAUAAUUAAACAAAUUGUGAUUUGUAAAAUUGGCGCGUAGAAUUUACACGCUUUAUUAUUAUGCAAAACAAUCUAUCAACACUGAGAAUUUGUAACUUGCGUCAAAUUGCGUUAAGCACAAAGGAUAUAACCUAACAAACACGAAGAUGCUAUGUAUAUUUAAGCUACAAUAUUUUACCAAAUGUCCUACUGGACAAAUUGUAAAAUUUAAAUAAAUAAUAAAAAAAAGAAAAUUGCGUUAAUAUUGAACUGAUAACAGUAUCAAUUCAAUUGUGCAAGAACACCUAGAAAGGUGGAGCAUAGCGCCAGAAAAUAAAUAAUAUAUUAUUCCUCAAUAAAAUUGACAAAAUUUGUACAUUUUAAAGUUACAUAUUAUAUUAUUUAUGGAAUGAUCUAAUACAUAUUUUCGAAAUUUAUAUGU